GACGAACGCUGGCGGCGUGCCUAAUACAUGCAAGUCGAACGAACUCUGGUAUUGAUUGGUGCUUGUAUCAUGAUUUACAUUUGAGUGAGUGGCGAACUGGUGAGUAACACGUGGGAAACCUGCCCAGAAGCGGGGGAUAACACCUGGAAACAGAUGCUAAUACCGCAUAACAACUUGGACCGCAUGGUCCGAGCUUGAAAGAUGGCUUCGGCUAUCACUUUUGGAUGGUCCCGCGGCGUAUUAGCUAGAUGGUGGGGUAACGGCUCACCAUGGCAAUGAUACGUAGCCGACCUGAGAGGGUAAUCGGCCACAUUGGGACUGAGACACGGCCCAAACUCCUACGGGAGGCAGCAGUAGGGAAUCUUCCACAAUGGACGAAAGUCUGAUGGAGCAACGCCGCGUGAGUGAAGAAGGGUUUCGGCUCGUAAAACUCUGUUGUUAAAGAAGAACAUAUCUGAGAGUAACUGUUCAGGUAUUGACGGUAUUUAACCAGAAAGCCACGGCUAACUACGUGCCAGCAGCCGCGGUAAUACGUAGGUGGCAAGCGUUGUCCGGAUUUAUUGGGCGUAAAGCGAGCGCAGGCGGUUUUUUAAGUCUGAUGUGAAAGCCUUCGGCUCAACCGAAGAAGUGCAUCGGAAACUGGGAAACUUGAGUGCAGAAGAGGACAGUGGAACUCCAUGUGUAGCGGUGAAAUGCGUAGAUAUAUGGAAGAACACCAGUGGCGAAGGCGGCUGUCUGGUCUGUAACUGACGCUGAGGCUCGAAAGUAUGGGUAGCAAACAGGAUUAGAUACCCUGGUAGUCCAUACCGUAAACGAUGAAUGCUAAGUGUUGGAGGGUUUCCGCCCUUCAGUGCUGCAGCUAACGCAUUAAGCAUUCCGCCUGGGGAGUACGGCCGCAAGGCUGAAACUCAAAGGAAUUGACGGGGGCCCGCACAAGCGGUGGAGCAUGUGGUUUAAUUCGAAGCUACGCGAAGAACCUUACCAGGUCUUGACAUACUAUGCAAAUCUAAGAGAUUAGACGUUCCCUUCGGGGACAUGGAUACAGGUGGUGCAUGGUUGUCGUCAGCUCGUGUCGUGAGAUGUUGGGUUAAGUCCCGCAACGAGCGCAACCCUUAUUAUCAGUUGCCAGCAUUAAGUUGGGCACUCUGGUGAGACUGCCGGUGACAAACCGGAGGAAGGUGGGGAUGACGUCAAAUCAUCAUGCCCCUUAUGACCUGGGCUACACACGUGCUACAAUGGAUGGUACAACGAGUUGCGAACUCGCGAGAGUAAGCUAAUCUCUUAAAGCCAUUCUCAGUUCGGAUUGUAGGCUGCAACUCGCCUACAUGAAGUCGGAAUCGCUAGUAAUCGCGGAUCAGCAUGCCGCGGUGAAUACGUUCCCGGGCCUUGUACACACCGCCCGUCACACCAUGAGAGUUUGUAACACCCAAAGUCGGUGGGGUAACCUUUUAGGAACCAGCCGCCUAAGGUGGGACAGAUGAUUAGGGUG
Molecule: ribosomal RNA, 1489 nt
Filed under: Lactiplantibacillus plantarum
Lineage: Bacteria; Bacillati; Bacillota; Bacilli; Lactobacillales; Lactobacillaceae
Description: bacterial SSU rRNA
Rfam family: Bacterial small subunit ribosomal RNA
Source: RNAcentral